This 380-nucleotide ribosomal RNA is filed under the name uncultured Acidobacteriota bacterium. RNAcentral describes it as "bacterial SSU rRNA". It matches the Rfam family "Bacterial small subunit ribosomal RNA", at positions 521 to 896 of the family's 1533-position model. Lineage: Bacteria; Pseudomonadati; Acidobacteriota. The record is from RNAcentral.
UAAGACGGGGGGGGCAAGCGUUGUUCGGAAUUACUGGGCGUAAAGGGCGCGCAGGCGGCCUGGGAAGUUUUGGGUGAAAGCCCCCGGCUCAACCGGGGAAUGGCCUGAGAAACCACCAGGCUGGAGUGCUGGAGAGGGAAGCGGAAUUCCCGGUGGAGCGGUGAAGUGCGUAGAUAUCGGGAGGAACACCGGAGGCGAAGGCGGCUUCCUGGACAGACACUGACGCUGAGGCGCGAAAGCUAGGGGAGCAAACGGGAUUAGAUACCCCGGUAGUCCUAGCUGUAAACGAUGGGUACUAGGUGUGGGAGGUUGAAUUAAGUCCUUCCGUGUCGGAGAUAACUCAAUAAGUACCCCGCCUGGGGAGUACGGUCGCAAGGCUG